This 1420-nucleotide ribosomal RNA is filed under the name uncultured organism. RNAcentral's name for it is "bacterial SSU rRNA". It matches the Rfam family "Bacterial small subunit ribosomal RNA". The record is from RNAcentral.
CAAGUCGAACGGACCAUAUAAUUGGGUAACCGAAAGUAUGGUUAGUGGCGAAAGGGUGAGGAAUAGAUAGGAACGUACCCUGUGCUCUGGGAUAGCGUCUGAAGCUUCGGCUUCUUCCGAAAGGGGCGGUAAUUACCAGAUAAUGUCCUUCGGGACCAAAGAUUUAUUGGCAUUGGAGCGGCCUAUCUCCUAUCAGCUUGUUGGUGAGGUAACGGCUCACCAAGGCAACGACGGGUAGCGGGACUGAGUGGUUGGCCCGCCCACAUCGUGGACUGAGACACUGCCCGGACCUCCACGGAGGGCUGCAGUAACGGAUAUUGGGCAAUGGGCGAAAGCCUGACCAGCAAUGCCGCGUGCAGGAUGAAGCCCCUAGGGGUGUAAACUGCUGUCGGGGGUCAGAAAGCUGGUUUCGGCCAGUUGAUCAACCCCAGAGGAAGUCACGGCUAACUUCGUGCCAGCAGCCGCGGUAAUACGAAGGUGGCAAGCGUUAUUCGGAAUCAUUGGGCUUAAAGGGCACGCAGGCGGAACAGUGAGUGUUGUGUGAAAUCCCCCGGCUUAACCGGGGAAUUGCACAGCAAACUGCUGUUCUUGAGGCAGGUAGGGGUGCAUGGAACUCUUGGUGGAGCGGUGGAAUGCGUAGAUAUCAAGAGGAACGCCAGAGGUGAAGACGGUGCACUGGGCCUGUCCUGACGCUGAGGUGCGAAAGCGUGGGGAGCGAACGGGAUUAGAUACCCCGGUAGUCCACGCCGUAAACGAUGUCUACUAGGUCGUGGGUGUCCUGACACAUUCACGGCCGGAGCAAAAGUGUUUAGUAGACCGCCUGGGGAGUACGGCCGCAAGGUUAAAACUCAAAUGAAUUGACGGGGGCUCACACAAGCGGUGGAGCAUGUGGAUUAAUUCGAAGCAACGCGCAGAACCUUACCUGGGUUUGACAUGCUUGUAUGCCUUCUCUGAAGGAGUUAGGCUGCCUUCGGGUGAAACUUGCACAGGUGCUGCAUGGCUGUCGUCAGCUCGUGUCGUGAGAUGUCGGGUUAAGUCCUUUAACGAGCGAAACCCUUGCCGUUAGUUGCCAGCGAGUAAUGUCGGGGACUCUAACGGGACUGCCGGUGUUAAACCGGAGGAAGGUGGGGAUGACGUCAAGUCCUCAUGGCCUUUAUGCCCAGGGCUUCACACGUGCUACAAUGGCAAUUACAGAGCGACGCGAUACCGCGAGGUGGAGCAAAUCGCAAAAAAAUUGCCUCAGUUCGGAUUGCAGGCUGGCAAUUCGCCUGCAUGAAGUCGGAAUCGCUAGUAAUCGCGUAUCAGCAAUGACGCGGUGAAUGUGUUCCUGAGCCUUGUACACACCGCCCGUCAAGUGAUGGAAGCCGGGAGUACCCGAAGUCGGGUUGCUAACCUUUGGGAGGCGCCUGCCGACGGUAAG